Molecule: long non-coding RNA, 836 nt
Filed under: Androctonus crassicauda
Lineage: Eukaryota; Metazoa; Arthropoda; Arachnida; Scorpiones; Buthidae
Source: RNAcentral
UAAUCGUGGGAAAAGAGAAUUUGAUCGUCAAAGUGGAAGUGAUAAAAGGUUAGCAUAUUAUUAGGUUAAAUAUUUAAUUAAAAUUUCACUAUACAACAUUUUUGCAUUAAAAGCAUAUUAACUGGUAAACUUUACUGCUAUAGAAUAUAUUAUGAAUGACAUACAAAUUGGUUGCUAGUAGAUCUAUAAUAUGAUUAUUUGAAAUGCUUUUAUUUGCAGUUGUACAUUUCUAUGCUUUAUGAAGAGUUCUUUUAUAAUACAUGUAUUUCUUGACUUAGAACAGAGUUCGGUUUCAAAAAUUUUGAACUCUGCUGCUGUAAUUCAGAAAUGGUCAGAAGUUGAAAUAUCCAAAAUUUAUGGAUUUCUUACUACUAAUGUUUACUCAGACACAGUCACUCACAGCCAUAUUCAUCAAACAGGAUCGAGAUCAACUACGAUCCUGAAUCAAUCUAUAGUUUCGUAUUCACCAGGAUUUUGAAUCCAGGAUUAGACACAAAACUUGAUCCCGAUCUUGAUCCAACAGUUUGUUCGGAUUGAAGUAAGGAUCGAGAUCGACUCAUGCGCAGUUUAGUCAGUUUUAAAGAAAAAUGGACGACGUUUAUGAGAUUGACUAGCUAAUGCUACUAGAACAACUGGAAAGAUUGGAAAACGGCCAUGUAGAUUAUUUACAAAUCGCACAAAUGAUUUAGAACUGCUAGAUGAUAUCGAAUUUAGAUCUCGAUAUUGAUUGCCAAAAAUUAAUCAAAUAUUUAAUCACUUGAUUCGGCGAUAAGCUAUCUCAAGGUAGUGAUCGUAAUAAUUGUUUAUCACCAAUUGAACAAUUUAUUAUGACCAGU